Molecule: long non-coding RNA, 3240 nt
Organism: Papio anubis (olive baboon)
Lineage: Eukaryota; Metazoa; Chordata; Mammalia; Primates; Cercopithecidae
Source: Ensembl
GGAAGGAUCCCAGAUUUCAGAGCUGUCACUUGGAGGAGGGGCACCCAGUGAAGAGUGACCAUAUGGAUUUGACCCCUAUCCUUCAGAGGUGCUCAGCCCAAGGGAACACGGGUAGUAGAUUAAGCACUGACCAGGGCCUGAAACAGGGAAGUUUGGCUGCAACAGGGAAGAUCCCCUUGAAAGAGACUAAGUGGCGUUUCAAACCACAUCCAGCCGAAUCAAAUCAGGGGUCUGCCGUCACCCUCUUCUGCAUCCACCUCUGCCUGCGAUGGCUCCCUGCCCCUGUAAAAGACAUUAUCUGCUUGAGAACAAUCCUGGAGAGAGGCCCUACUGAUGAGAGAUAUCUCAUGGGAGGACUGAAGGAGCAAAGGCUUUGCAGAACAUGGUCUUUAGAGGGGAAGUUGAGCGGUAGCAACAAAAGUUACCCAUCGGCGAAAACAGCUGGGGAGCCAUCUGUCCGGGAGAAGCUUCCUGCCCAUUUCAUUACCCCCCUUUCUGCAUUUGUGAGAGAACUGGCCGCUGACGGCAGGCGGUUUAUAGCAGAGGGAACAGAAGGAAACCAGUUGGCCCUUGGAUAACCUUGGCCUCAUUAGCAUCGAACCAAAGCCCACUGCGCUAUUGACUUCUAGUAAAUAUCCACCCAUCAAGAAGAUGUCCCGGAGCCCUGCCUCCGGGGUGUUCAGACACCAGACAGAGCCUUCUUGCUCCUCCAUCCCCAGCUUUGUGAUUCAGGAGCGGGUGCCUAACCAUUCUCCCUGCCCAUAACCAUCCAGCACUCAGAAACCACUCCAUCUUCCCGGGAGGGGACAGUGGUGGGGGGGUGGGCGGUGGGAAGGAAACCUCCAUGGUCACCUCGCUGAAAAUCUCCCAUUCUCUCGCUCUAAAGGGCCAAACAAACCCUAGAAAGGCAGUUCAGCAAAUGAAGUAUACGCAAUUAUAUUUCCAACUGCUUUGAAAACUUUUAUUUUUCUACAGCAAAUGACACAUUAUCUCUCUCGAGGUCAGGAAAUAAUGCAGUGGGAGUCUUGCGACAUUGUGAGAGUUAAUGUUUCUAUUUGCCAUUGUGUCCUGCGCAAAGAAAGGCGGCCGGUCAGCUGGGGUUACCACAACACAGCGCGGAGAUGGUGGAAUCCACCAGAAGUGCUUUGAUAAUGUUGGACACUAUUGUGCAGGCAAUGGCUUCCUCCUUACCCACGCUGCAUAAUGGGCCUCUGAGUGCUAAGGAGAUAAGCGAUACUAUCCUUGGAGUGUCAGAGGUAGGGCUCUCCAGAAGCUGCAUUCAUAAUUUCCUCCAACUUAAGGACUUUGAUUUUUUAAUAGUAAUUGAAACAUAUAAUUCAAUAGAAGUGUCACUCUAAUAUAAUAAUUGCCAAGGAAAUUGAACCACAAAGAAGUACUAUAAAUGGCAAUUUACCUUUAUUAGUGUACGUGGAGCUGGUAAUGUUUUCUCAUCAAGAAAGCGACCCCCACCCCCGCCCAGAUAUCCUCCCUUUCCAUCUUUUGAAUGUUCAUCAUCAUUCAUGCUGCCCUCUUAAGCAAUACCUUCGCUUCUUCUUAGAUUUCCAGUCGGCAUAUUUGGCCCCUCUUAAAAUGCUUAUCAUUGCAAAGUGUUCAUAUUAAUUGCUCUGGUGAAAGCUUUACAAUACAAACUUCAGCUAAACUCUUUAUUGUCAAAUGUCAGCUUCCUGACGUUCUACCUAGAACAUUUGCUUUUGUGGUUAUAAGUAAUAUAAAGGUGUUUUGUGUAUUUAAAGAACUAUGUAAGUAUAAGUCGCUGUUAUUGUGAUUCUGCACAUCUUUCUUAACAUGAAACAAUAUUUACAGAGGAUGUAUUAUACCACUGAACUAAGUCCGGGACCCAGCAUAGAAUAAAACAAGAAGCCAUUUCCCUCUCCUUGGGAGGUGUUGCUUGGAGCCACCUGAAUUACUAGUAUCAUUAUUAUUUCUGAUUAUUGAUAGGCAGGGGAGCACUUCACCUCCUAUUCCUGUGGAAAUAUACAACCUGCUCACUUCUUAUCCCACCCCUAUAAUUACUGAGCCAUUCUGUCAUCUGUUUCCUACCCUGAAUUCUGAUCCGUGCUUAUAACCACUCCCUCCCCUCUUUCCACUUACCUUCCUUGAUUCACUUCUAGGACACAUCUAGCAAGAGACUGACCCAAGACAGAAUACCACGCGGGAGCUCAAUGCACUCACUCUUUCCUGGAAAGGGUCUUUAUUCACAGGAAUCCCAGGAACCUGGGGUAAACUUUAGGUUUACUUAGAGGGAAAAAAAAAACCAAAGAAGAGAGAAGGAGACUAAGGAACAAAGAAAGAAGAACAGAGAGAGGGAGGUAGCAAAAGAAAAGAAGGGAGAGAAACAGGAAGGAACACAAAGAGAGGCUGACAUACACAUCCUGGACAAAGCCUCUGGUGGGGAGUUAAGUGAGGAGAAGGUGAGAUACAAGGUGUGUGUCCAUUAGGAUUGUUACUAUGUAACAUCUAUAUUUAUGAAGACAAAAAAUAGCAACAGAAUUUACCACAGUGAAAGUAGAUAUGCUUGGUUGUCAGGAUUAUGAGUAGUAUUUUCUUCGUCUUCUGGACUUCCUAUUAGGCACUAUCUUUAUAAUAGAAAAGUGAAAGAAAUGAGAUUCGAAAGGAUGGCAUAAAUUGUCAAAAGCAUCCCAUUACAGGGUGAACAAAUUAAUCAAGUACAAAAAGGCUGGCCUCUGAAGUCACCCAGAUUGAGUUGUCAUGUCUACCUGGCAACUGCGUUCAUUAACCCUGCUGGUUUCCAGUCACCUCCAUGGCUAAAUGAGGGAGGGUCUUUCCACUACCUAGCUGGUUUGUUAUGAGAAUGAAAGGGACUUGUAAUGGGCAUAACAUACCUUGUGACUCUCAAGUACUCAACAGGUGUGGGUCUCACUUCCUUCUGACCCAAGUAUUCCUAUUCAUUCCUAUGCACUCCAGUGGACCACUUCUACCUCAAAAACAUGUAGAAUAACAACCUGAGACAACAUUACUUGUUUUAACAUACAUUUAAAUAUGCCAUUAGGUAAAUCAUGACUGCUAAAAUAUUCUAACCACAUACAAUUAGUGUUGUAAAACACAAUGGCUUGACAAGUUCCAGUAUCUACAGGGGGUGGCUGAGUGCUCUGAAGUCCAGAUGCUCACUGGACCAAGAAUAAGGAGUCCCAAGCUUGAGUCCAAGUUGCUGCAAACAUGUUGGGGAAGAUACUUUGCUUCUCAUGGCCUUAGUUUUCU